This 356-nucleotide ribosomal RNA is filed under the name uncultured organism. RNAcentral's name for it is "bacterial SSU rRNA". It matches the Rfam family "Bacterial small subunit ribosomal RNA", at positions 486 to 844 of the family's 1533-position model. The record is from RNAcentral.
AUAAGGACCGGCUAAUUCCGUGCCAGCAGCCGCGGUAAUACGGAAGGUCCGGGCGUUAUCCGGAUUUAUUGGGUUUAAAGGGAGCGUAGGCCGGAGAUUAAGCGUGUUGUGAAAUGUAGACGCUCAACGUCUGCACUGCAGCGCGAACUGGUUUCCUUGAGUACGCACAAAGUGGGCGGAAUUCGUGGUGUAGCGGUGAAAUGCUUAGAUAUCACGAAGAACUCCGAUUGCGAAGGCAGCUCACUGGAGCGCAACUGACGCUGAAGCUCGAAAGUGCGGGUAUCGAACAGGAUUAGAUACCCUGGUAGUCCGCACGGUAAACGAUGGAUGCCCGCUGUUGGUCUGAAUAGGUCAGC